This 597-nucleotide long non-coding RNA is filed under the name Ananas comosus (pineapple). Its description in RNAcentral is "long non-coding RNA (ACOM_LNC002560)". The record is from RNAcentral. Lineage: Eukaryota; Viridiplantae; Streptophyta; Magnoliopsida; Poales; Bromeliaceae.
GUUUGCAAGUUUAACGGUGUAGAAAUAUCCAAAUCACGUGAAAUUUUGAUAGAAAAUUCUUUAUACUAUAUAAAACAAGAUCAAUAUCUUUGAUUUAAAAUUUUAAUGUCAUAUUAUUACAUUUUGUAAGAUUUUUAUUUUCAGCCGUUGAUUUUGAGCCCCUUCGUUCACUAGGCAAAUGAUAUCGUAAAAUCAUAAAAUUUAUUUUCUAGAUACUUCAAAUACUCUAGAUCAAGUUUAACGGAGCCGAUCGACGAUUCAAAAGUCGCAACAUCGAAAAUGAGCUGGAAGCACGGAAGGCUCCGUGCUUCCGAUAGCAUAGUAGCCUCACUCUAUAUAUAUAUAUAUAAAAUUUAUUCGGGUUGGAUUCGGAUAAUAUUUCGGAUAUCCAUAUCUAUUGACAUCCCUACUCCUUAUUCUACUUUUCAAUAUACAAAAAAUAUAUACUAAACACGGUGAACCAUUCACCGUGUUUAGAUACGAUGAAUGAUCCACCGUGUUCAACUUAAUACCCUGGCCCCAGCCCUGCCCGCGUGGCGCUGACGUGGCGCCUGCGUGGCAGAGACAGAGCCAUUUUUGUAAUUUUAAUUUUGAUAG